UACUGGGCGUAAAGAGCUCGUAAGUGGUUUGUCGCGUUGUUCGUGAAAUCUCACGGCUUAACUGUGAGCGUGCGGGCGAUACGGGCAGACUUGAGUACUGCAGGGGAGACUGGAAUUCCUGGUGUAGCGGUGGAAUGCGCAGAUAUCAGGAGGAACACCGGUGGCGAAGGCGGGUCUCUGGGCAGUAACUGACGCUGAGGAGCGAAAGCGUGGGGAGCGAACAGGAUUAGAUACCCUGGUAGUCCACGCCGUAAACGGCGGGUACUAGGUGUGGGUUUCCUUCCUUGGGAUCCGUGCCGUAGCUAACGCAUUAAGUACCCCGCCUGGGGAGUACGGCCGCAAGGCUAAAACUCAAAGAAAUUGACGGGGGCCCGCACAAGCGGCGGAGCAUGUGGAUUAAUUCGAUGCAACGCGAAGAACCUUACCUGGGUUUGACAUGCACAGGACGCCGGCAGAGAUGUCGGUUCCCUUGUGGCCUGUGUGCAGGUGGUGCAUGGCUGUCGUCAGCUCGUGUCGUGAGAUGUUGGGUUAAGUCCCGCAACGAGCGCAACCCUUGUCUCAUGUUGCCAGCGGGUAAUGCCGGGGACUCGUGAGAGACUGCCGGGGUCAACUCGGAGGAAGGUGGGGAUGACGUCAAGUCAUCAUGCCCCUUAUGUCCAGGGCUUCACACAUGCUACAAUGGCCGGUACAAAGGGCUGCGAUGCCGCGAGGUUAAGCGAAUCCUUUUAAAGCCGGUCUCAGUUCGGAUCGGGGUCUGCAACUCGACCCCGUGAAGUCGGAGUCGCUAGUAAUC
This 793-nucleotide ribosomal RNA is filed under the name uncultured Mycobacterium sp. RNAcentral describes it as "bacterial SSU rRNA". It matches the Rfam family "Bacterial small subunit ribosomal RNA", at positions 552 to 1343 of the family's 1533-position model. Lineage: Bacteria; Bacillati; Actinomycetota; Actinomycetes; Mycobacteriales; Mycobacteriaceae. The record is from RNAcentral.